RNAcentral lists this ribosomal RNA (253 nucleotides) under uncultured bacterium. RNAcentral describes it as "partial 16S ribosomal RNA". It matches the Rfam family "Bacterial small subunit ribosomal RNA", at positions 524 to 776 of the family's 1533-position model. The record is from RNAcentral.
UACGUAGGGGGCAAGCGUUGUUCGGAAUUACUGGGCGUAAAGGGCGCGUAGGCGGCUCGGCAAGUCAGGUGUGAAAGCCCUGGGCUCAACCCGGGAACUGCUUUUGAAACUGCCGAGCUAGAGUGCGGAAGGGGCAACUGGAAUUCCCAGUGUAGCGGUGAAAUGCGUAGAUAUUGGGAAGAACACCGGAGGCGAAGGCGGGUUGCUGGGCCGACACUGACGCUGAUGCGCGAAAGCCUGGGGAGCGAACGGG